CAUAUUCAAAACAACACAACACAAAAAAGGAUGGGGUUAGCCCGAUGUAUAACCUGGUACAAAAUAGCGACUUAAAUGAAGACUUUAAUGUUUCACAAUGACAAGGCUGGACAUUAGUAAGUAAUGAAAGGACAUUAGCAAGCAAUGGAAAACAAUAUUAUAAUAAAAAUCGAACCAUGGAAGAAGGUAAAACUUCACUACAUGUCAUUAUAAGUUCAUGACCCUGAGUUGUACGCAUAGUUCUCAAUGCACUGCGCCAUCGAGAGUUUGCCACCAUCAUUUGGUCUAAACAUUAACAGCAAGGCCAUACAGCAUCGUUAUGUCGCAAGGAAAAGCUGAAUUUUCUGGGCCGGGCUGGGUCGCAGUCCUCUGCCUGCAUGUCAACUGCAUAUUGUGGGCAGGUAUCUUGAAAGCCCUCGGAGUCAUGCUGCCUACCCUCGUGGAACAGUUCGCCACAGAAACCUGGGUAAUUGGGUGGAUGGUGGCCAUCAUCAACGGUGCUAUCAAUAUCGUGGGACCCUUUUCCGGACCAGUGAACUCCUUGUUUGGUACCCGCUAUGUUGUGAUGGUCAGUGGUAUCCUGAUUGGGACGUCAUUGAUCGUUGCUUCACUGACUACCAGCGUUGUCCAAAUGACCGUGACUUUGACAUUGGGAGUUUCUUGUCUAAGUUGCUCCAGUGUUCUCAUGAGGGCGGCAGUCGCACGGUGUUUUCCAAUCAACUAUGGCACAGCCACCGGUCUGGCGAUGUCAGGAUUUCCCGUGGGUACACUCCUAAUCGCGCCUUUGACACAGCUUCUGCUAGACACGUACGGCUGGCGAGCCGCCAUGAUGCUCCUCGGUGCCAUGAGUUUGCACCUAUCUGCCUGUGGCGCCCUCUUCAGGCAGAGAUCAAGGGGCAGCGAGAAAAGUAACCAGUAUGAGACGCUUCGUGAAGACGAUGAUCUCGAUGACUCAUCUCCUAACAACAUUGCCAAAGAGAAAUCACGAUUGCGCGCUUUCAAGGACGCCCUCACAGCACAGACUGAACAUUUCGGUUUCUCGGUGUUCUUGAAGUUCUCCUUUUGGAUCGCCACCCUACUGGAAGUCUGUAUUCGCUUUGUUUCCGACCAGUGGCUGGUGUAUUUCGUCCCCCAGGCAGAGGCCAAGGGUUUCUCCCCCCAGGAAGCCGUUACGUUUGUCACCGCUGCCGGCAUCGGCAACAUCGUCUUCAAACUCGUCCUAGGCGUUGUCGUGGACCGGGGUCUGUUAAAACUGCGACCGGCAAUGGCAGCGGUGAUCGUCAUGAGCUGUGUGAGUUUCGUCAUCGUGCCGUGGGUGACGUCAUACUGGAUGACGUUAACAAAUGCUGUUGUCUUCUAUGGUUCGUGUGGUGCCAUUGGUUCACUCAUUGACAUCUUCACAAGGGAACUUCUGGGCGUGGAUCUCCUGAUCAGCGCUUUCAGUUGGAUGGAAGUUAUAUCGGCGCUUGUCAGCUUAGGUUUUGGAUUCUAUCCAGGUUGGAUUUACGACGAGACCGGAAGUUACGAUUUGGCCUUUGUUUCAUUGGGAUGUGUGUGGGCCCUGUCGCUGGUGGCGCUCUUAAUGGAACAGGUGAACGCGAGAUGGUAUAAGAAGUAAUCUGUGAUGAGUUUGUUAGUUUUGCUAUCAAAGAUCAGUUCUGUUAUGAUCUAAAUAUUGAGAAACCGUGUAUCAGUACACUGUAACACUGGUUGUUUAACUAUUUAACACAAUGUAAACGCUUGUUUGCAAUAGUUUAUAACGUUUUAACGCGUUUAAGGGGAGACGUAAAAGGCUCAGGCUAAAUUUUGAGUCGGAUUAAUUUGCAGGUGUCUGUCACAAGUUGAUUUUAAAAGGUCUUGUGAAUAUUUUAUUUCCAGAAUUAUACUGUAUAACUUUUUCUUUUUGUGAUUGUAUUAUGGGGAAGCGACCCCAACCUAAUUGAUAUAUAUAUACUUUGAAACUUUUUGUGAUUGUAUUACGGGAGAGACCUCAACCUAAUCCACAUACUCUGAAACCUUUGUGUGUGAUAAUAUUAAGGGAAAGACCCAACCUAAUUUUUUGAUGUAUUAGAAGUCCACGAAGUUGGAAUUGGGGUAAUCUUAUCAUGACUUGACUCCAGUUGAACACUUUAGCAUUACAAUGUAUAAGCUGUAAAUCCUAUAAGUAUUUAACAAUGGUGGGAUUUAACUGAGCAGUCCGUGCCUGUCAGUAGAUUAACUUGACAUGUUCUGAGGUUUUGAAAUACUUUUAGACCAUCAGUCUUGGGUAUAAAAUCCAGAUUGGGGCGUUGGCUAGGCACUUGUAGGCGAGACCAGGACCGACACUACGUCAGGGCAUGUUAUGCUCAUGUGUACCCACAUUGGGGAGUUGUAGGUUCCUAGUGAACUGAGUUUGCAAUUAUUUGCGCCGUUGGGAAUGAGUCCCACAGAGUCGGUAGGCUGCGGCCGUCCUCGUGUCCUCGUCAAAGUCAAUAAAAUGUAGACCAGGUUAUUCGCCAUAACCUGGUUUUUGGGACGUAACGUCUGGUUUUGGGAACUCCGCACAGUGAGAUAGACAUCCUCGGCGGGCCGAACUCAAGUCGACCAUACCAGCAGGAUUGUCGGCAAGGUCACACGUGGGCAGAGGACUCUACGGACACAGACGGUACUACCAGGGCAGGCACCGGUGCACCACACCCACAACCACACCAACCCGAACACUUCACACGGACCGUUGAUUUGGGCCCACUUUCGUUGAUUGUUUUGUAAUGUAUUAAUAAUGAUGUAUUUAUUUAGUUUCUUUGUAGGAUGAAAUUUAAGUGUAUGUUAAUAUUGGUGAUAUUGUGAAUUAAAUUAAUCUUGAAAUUAUA
Molecule: unclassified non-coding RNA, 2849 nt
Filed under: Patiria miniata (bat star)
Lineage: Eukaryota; Metazoa; Echinodermata; Asteroidea; Valvatida; Asterinidae
Description: monocarboxylate transporter 12-like, transcript variant X4
Source: RNAcentral